AUCUCAGUUACGUGAACACUGCAAUUCUGUGACUCCUCACUCCCUAACUAUAAGCUUUAUCAAAGAGGAGAGUUUUAAGUUUACUCUUAAAUGCAGUGAUGGUGUCUGGCUCCCGAACCCAGAUCGGAAGUUGAUUCCACAGGAGAGGAGCCUGAUAGCUGAAGGCUCUGGCUCCCAUUCUACUUUUAGAGACUCUAGGAACCAAAAGUAGCUCUGAAUUGUGGGAGUGUAGUGCUCUAGUGGGACAAUAAG
This is a long non-coding RNA of Etheostoma cragini (Arkansas darter), 252 nucleotides long. RefSeq lists it as uncharacterized. The record is from RefSeq and is a predicted model, not a curated record. NCBI's taxonomy places the organism in Eukaryota, Metazoa, Chordata, Actinopteri, Perciformes, Percidae. The transcript has 3 exons.